Non-coding RNA from Sturnus vulgaris (Common starling), 94 nucleotides. The record is from RefSeq and is a predicted model, not a curated record. NCBI's taxonomy places the organism in Eukaryota, Metazoa, Chordata, Aves, Passeriformes, Sturnidae.
UGGCGAGGCUGCAUCUGCAGUGCUGUGUCCAGUUCUGAGCUCCUCAGGACAGGAGACAUGGACCUCCUGGAGCGGGUCCAGCAGAGGAUGUGAG